This 454-nucleotide ribosomal RNA is filed under the name uncultured Prevotella sp. Its description in RNAcentral is "bacterial SSU rRNA". It matches the Rfam family "Bacterial small subunit ribosomal RNA", at positions 341 to 792 of the family's 1533-position model. Lineage: Bacteria; Pseudomonadati; Bacteroidota; Bacteroidia; Bacteroidales; Prevotellaceae. The record is from RNAcentral.
ACGGGAGGCAGCAGUGAGGAAUAUUGGUCAAUGGGCGAGAGCCUGAACCAGCCAAGUAGCGUGCAGGAUGACGGCCCUAUGGGUUGUAAACUGCUUUUAUAAGGGAAUAAAGUGACGUACGUGUACGUUUUUGCAUGUACCUUAUGAAUAAGGACCGGCUAAUUCCGUGCCAGCAGCCGCGGUAAUACGGAAGGUCCGGGCGUUAUCCGGAUUUAUUGGGUUUAAAGGGAGCGUAGGCUGUCUGUUAAGCGUGUUGUGAAAUGUCGCGGCUCAACCGGGGCACUGCAGCGCGAACUGGCAGACUUGAGUGCGGUGGAAGUAGGCGGAAUUCGUCGUGUAGCGGUGAAAUGCUUAGAUAUGACGAAGAACUCCGAUUGCGAAGGCAGCUUACUGUAGCGUAACUGACGCUGAAGCUCGAAAGUGCGGGUAUCGAACAGGAUUAGAUACCCUGGUA